Molecule: ribosomal RNA, 301 nt
Filed under: uncultured bacterium
Lineage: Bacteria
Description: partial 16S ribosomal RNA
Rfam family: Bacterial small subunit ribosomal RNA
Source: RNAcentral
CAGCAGCCACGGUAAUACGGAGGAUCCAAGCGUUAUCCGGAUUUAUUGGGUUUAAAGGGUGCGUAGGUGGCCUGUUAAGUCAGGGGUGAAAGACGGUAGCUCAACUAUCGCAGUGCCCUUGAUACUGAUGGGCUUGAAUGAACUAGAGGUAGGCGGAAUGUGACAAGUAGCGGUGAAAUGCAUAGAUAUGUCACAGAACACCAAUUGCGAAGGCAGCUUACUAUGGUUUUAUUGACACUGAGGCACGAAAGCGUGGGGAUCAAACAGGAUUAGAUACCCCGGUAGUCCCUGUCUCUUAUAA